GUCUCAGUUCGGAUUGGAGUCUGCAACCCGACUCCAUGAAGCUGGAUUCGCUAGUAAUCGCGCAUCAGCCAUGGCGCGGUGAAUACGUUCCCGGGCCUUGUACACACCGCCCGUCAAGCCAUGGGAGCCGGGGGUACCUGAAGUCCGUAACCGCGAGGAUCGGCCUAGGGUAAAACUGGUGACUGGGGCUAAGUCGUAACAAGGUAUC
Molecule: ribosomal RNA, 208 nt
Filed under: uncultured bacterium
Lineage: Bacteria
Description: partial 16S ribosomal RNA
Rfam family: Bacterial small subunit ribosomal RNA
Source: RNAcentral